UAGGGAAUAUUGGACAAUGGGCGCAAGCCUGAUCCAGCCAUGCCGCGUGAGUGAAGAAGGCCCUCGGGUUGUAAAGCUCUUUUGUCCGGAAAGAAAAGCAUCGGGCUAAUACCCUGGUGUUCUGACGGUACCGGAAGAAUAAGCACCGGCUAACUUCGUGCCAGCAGCCGCGGUAAUACGAAGGGUGCAAGCGUUACUCGGAAUUACUGGGCGUAAAAGCGUGCGUAGGUGGUUUGUUAAGUCUGAUGUGAAAGCCCUGGGCUCAACCUGGGAAUGGCAUUGGAAACUGGCGGACUCGAGUGCGGUAGAGGGGUGUGGAAUUCCCGGUGUAGCAGUGAAAUGCGUAGAGAUCGGGAGGAACACCAGUGGCGAAGGCGACACCCUGGACCAGCACUGACACUGAGGCACGAAAAGCGUGGGGAGCAAAACAGGAUUAGAUACCCUGGUAGUCCACGCCCUAAAACGAUGCGAACUGGAUGUUGGGUGCAACUUGGCACUCAGUAUCGAAGCUAACGCGUUAAGUUCGCCGCCUGGGGAGUACGGUCGCAAGACUG
This 554-nucleotide ribosomal RNA is filed under the name uncultured bacterium. RNAcentral's name for it is "partial 16S ribosomal RNA". It matches the Rfam family "Bacterial small subunit ribosomal RNA", at positions 355 to 896 of the family's 1533-position model. The record is from RNAcentral.